This 691-nucleotide ribosomal RNA is filed under the name uncultured bacterium. RNAcentral describes it as "bacterial SSU rRNA". It matches the Rfam family "Bacterial small subunit ribosomal RNA", at positions 629 to 1325 of the family's 1533-position model. The record is from RNAcentral.
GAUACUGUUGUUCUGAGUUCGGCUGAGGUAGGCGGAAUGAGUAAUGUAGCGGUGAAAUGCUUAGAUAUUACUCAGAACACCGAUUGCGUAGGCAGCUUACCAAACCGACACUGACGCUGAGGCACGAAAGCGUGGGGAGCGAACAGGAUUAGAUACCCUGGUAGUCCACGCCGUAAGCGUUGAUUACUCGUUGUUGGCAAUACAUCGUCAGCGACUGAGCGAAAGCAUUAAGUAAUCCACCUGGGGAGUACGUCAGCAAUGAUGAAACUCAAAGGAAUUGACGGGGGCCCGCACAAGCGGAGGAACAUGUGGUUUAAUUCGAUGAUACGCGAGGAACCUUACCUGGGCUUAAAUGUAGAGUGCAUAGAGUGGAAACAUUCUUUUCCUUCGGGACUCUUUACAAGGUGCUGCAUGGUUGUCGUCAGCUCGUGCCGUGAGGUGUCGGGUUAAGUCCCAUAACGAGCGCAACCCUCAUCGCCAGUUGCCAACACAUCAUGGUGGGGACUCUGGUGAAACUGCCGGUGCAAACCGUGAGGAAGGUGAGGAUGACGUCAAAUCAGCACGGCCCUUAUGUCCAGGGCUACACACGUGUUACAAUGGUCGGUACGACGGGCAGCUACACAGCGAUGUGGUGCUAAUCCUAAAAACCGAUCUUAGUUCGGAUCGGAGUCUGCAACUCGACUCCGUGAAG